UCAGUUCGGAUCGGAGUCUGCAACCCGACUCCGUGAAGCUGGAUUCGCUAGUAAUCGCGCAUCAGCCAUGGCGCGGUGAAUACGUUCCCGGGCCUUGUACACACCGCCCGUCAAGCCAUGGGAGCCGGGAGCGCUUGAAGUGCGUCGCCGCGAAGCGCGCCCUAGAGCGAGACCGGUGACUGGGGCUAAGUCGUAACAAGGUAGC
RNAcentral lists this ribosomal RNA (205 nucleotides) under uncultured bacterium. RNAcentral's name for it is "partial 16S ribosomal RNA". It matches the Rfam family "Bacterial small subunit ribosomal RNA", at positions 1288 to 1500 of the family's 1533-position model. The record is from RNAcentral.